GAGAGAGAGUACAGUAGGUCAUGAUGCUGUUUCUCCAUCAGCAGCUGGAGUCUGAGAGAGAGUGUACAGUAGGUAUAGCAGGUGGUAUAGUAGGUAUAGACAGUGUAUUUGAUAUAUACAGUGUAGUCUAUAUAUUCAGCAGGUGAUUUAUGUGGUAUAGGUUGUAUAGGAGGUGUAGAUGGUGUAAAUGUUAUAGGUGUGUAUAAGUGGUACAGGUGGUAUAUAUGGUAUAGGAGGUGUAGAUGGUGUAAAUGUUAUAGGUGUGUAUAAGUGGUACAGGUGGUAUAUAUGGUAUAGGAGGUGUAGAUGGUAUAAAUGUUAUAGGUGGUAUAAGUGGUACAGGUGGUAUAUAUGGUAUAGGAGGUGUAGAUGGUGUAAAUGUUAUAGGUGGUAUAAGUGGUACAGGUGGUAUAUAUGGUAUAGGAGGUGUAGAUGGUGUAAAUGUUAUAGGUGGUAUAAGUGGUACAGGUGGUAUAUAUGGUAUAGGAGGUGUAGAUGGUGUAAAUGUUAUAGGUGGUAUAAGUGGUACAGGUGGUAUAUAUGGUAUAGGAGGUGUAGAUGGUGUAAAUGUUAUAGGUGUGUAUAAGUGGUAGAGGUGGUUUAUAUGGUAUAGGAGGUGUAGAUGGUGUAAAUGUUAUAGGUGUGUGUAAGUGGUACAGGUGGUUUAUGUGGUAUAUGAGGUGUAGAUGGUGUAAAUGUUAUAGGUGUGUGUAAGUGGUACAGGUGGUUUAUGUGGUAUAGGAGGUGUAGAUGGUGUAAAUGUUAUAGGUGUGUGUAAGUGGUACAGGUGGUUUAUGUGGUAUAGGAGGUGUAGAUGGUGUAAAUGUUAUAGGUGUGUAUAAGUGGUACAGGUGGUUUAUGUGGUAUAGGAGGUGUAGAUGGUGUAAAUGUUGUUAUAGGUGUGUGUAAGUGGUAGAGGUGGUUUAUGUGGUAUUAAAACAGUGCCGGGUGUUAAACUCCGGCGCUCCCGGUCUCUGAUUCAGAAUCACAGCGUUUAGCGGUUCUGUUAAUCAGACUGAUCUCAGAUCAGAACCGCCGCUGCUUUUACCGGCUGUUUGUAGUAAAUUGCAGUUUUAAAGGUCAGCGAGCGACGGCACUUUCUAAUGGACAGAGUGCUACCGGCUACUGUUACUACAGCUCUCCCUCUCUCUCUCUCCCCGUCUCUCUCUCUCUUUCUCUCUGUUGUGUGUGCUGUAGUGAACUGGUACUUUAAUGCUGAAGUACUAAAAUAAAAGAUAAAAUAUACUCAGUAUCUGUUUGUCUGGCUGUCAAUAAGCCUGUCUGUCUUUGUGUCUGUCCAUAUAUCUAUAUAUUAAUCUUGCAUAUAUUGAUCUGUUUGUCUGCAUGUCUGUCUGUCUACCUACCUGCUCUAUCUAUCUGUCUGUGUACCUGAAUGUCUGUCUGUCCAUAUAUCUAUCUGUCUACCAACCUGUUUAUAUGUCUGUCUAUCCAUCUAUAAAACUUGUCUAUUUGUCUGCAAAUCUGUAUGUCUGUAUUUCUAUCUCUAUCUCUGUCUGUCUGUCUGCUUACUUGUUUCUGUCUUUCUGUCUAUAUGUCUCUUGGUUUGCAUAUCUUUGUGUUUGUCUGUGUGUCUGUCCUUCCAUCUAUGAAACUUGUCUAUUUGUCUGUAAAUCUUUCUGUUUGUA
This is a long non-coding RNA of Astyanax mexicanus (Mexican tetra), 1646 nucleotides long. RefSeq lists it as uncharacterized. The transcript is spliced from 3 exons. The record is from RefSeq and is a predicted model, not a curated record. NCBI's taxonomy places the organism in Eukaryota, Metazoa, Chordata, Actinopteri, Characiformes, Acestrorhamphidae.